This 526-nucleotide unclassified non-coding RNA is filed under the name Hevea brasiliensis (rubber tree). The record is from RNAcentral. Lineage: Eukaryota; Viridiplantae; Streptophyta; Magnoliopsida; Malpighiales; Euphorbiaceae.
UGCCUCCAUAACUAGAUGUUAUUGCACCUCCUAAACCAGCCCCAUGGUCACCAGCUCUUUGACCUGAUAUCACUUGAGUAAGAGCUGAUACCAUUGCAGACAUCUCCCUUGCACUGCCAUAACCAGGAAACAUAGUUGCCGAUUGCGCGACGACUUGUAUUGGCUGAUUUAACACGGAUUCUGAGGUUACAGUUUGUGUAUAUCUCUCUUCUUGGUUAUCAUCUCCGCUUUCUGUAGUAGCAGGGUACUUGAUGUACUCGCCUGAGUCUCCCUGGUUCGCCACCUUCAAAAUCAACAAGCACAUGUAAUAUUAGAUAGAGAGAGAGGGUUUUUAUUGUUUUUUUUCCUUUGCUCUUUCCUUCUCCUAUUUGCAAAAAAUAGGAGUACCCUCUUCGAAUCGAAGUUACAAAGAAGGAUUAUGGUUAUAUAAGGUGAUGGGGAAUUCAAAUUUGAUCAGCCGCCNNNNNNUGCAGAGGCACCAAGAACAUAUCAUUCAUGAUAAAUAUGAUCAUAAGUUGCUUUUUUU